Molecule: ribosomal RNA, 301 nt
Filed under: uncultured bacterium
Lineage: Bacteria
Description: partial 16S ribosomal RNA
Rfam family: Bacterial small subunit ribosomal RNA
Source: RNAcentral
CAGCAGCCACGGUAAAACGAAGGGGGCUAGCGUUGCUCGGAAUGACUGGGCGUAAAGGGCGCGUAGGCGGCGAUCAAAGUCAGGCGUGAAAUUCCUGGGCUCAACCUGGGGGCUGCGCUUGAUACUUGGUUGCUUGAGUGGGGAAGAGGGUCGUGGAAUUCCCAGUGUAGAGGUGAAAUUCGUAGAUAUUGGGAAGAACACCGGUGGCGAAGGCAGCGACCUGGUCCUUGACUGACGCUGAGGCGUGAAAGCGUGGGGAGCAAACAGGAUUAGAUACACCUGUAGUCCCUGUCUCUUAUAA